This 129-nucleotide ribosomal RNA is filed under the name Penicillium sp. RNAcentral's name for it is "partial 28S ribosomal RNA". It matches the Rfam family "Eukaryotic large subunit ribosomal RNA", at positions 1 to 128 of the family's 3401-position model. Lineage: Eukaryota; Fungi; Ascomycota; Eurotiomycetes; Eurotiales; Aspergillaceae. The record is from RNAcentral.
UUGACCUCGGAUCAGGUAGGGAUACCCGCUGAACUUAAGCAUAUCAAUAAGCGGAGGAAAAGAAACCAACAGGGAUUGCCUCAGUAACGGCGAGUGAAGCGGCAAGAGCUCAAAUUUGAAAGCUGGCUC